AUGAUUGCCCUGCUCCCAAAGAAGGAUGGUGCUAUCAAAAUGAGUGAUUUUCGGUCGAUUAGUCUCAUUCCCUCUAUUGCAAAGCUGUUCUCCAAAGUUCUGCCCAUUCGGCUUGCCAGCGUCAUUGACAAGCUGAUCAACCCAGCGCAAACAACGUUCCAAAGGAAGAAGUGCAUCCACGACAACUAUUUAUAUGUGCAAAACACGGUCAGCAAACUGCAUAGAAGCAAAACCCCGACGCUUUUGCUGAAACUUGACAUUGCUAGGGCCUUUGAUUGCGUCUCUUGGGAAUACAUCUUGGAAUUGUUGGAGGUUCUCGACUUCCCUCUACGAUGGAGGGAUUGGAUAGCUCUCCUUAUCUCGACAUUAUCCUCCUCCUGUCUCCUAAACGGGGUGCCGGGGGACUGCAUUGAACACCAUCGAGGGCUUAGACAGGGAGACCCCCUGUUGCCGCUGCUGUUUAUACUGUAUCGACACUCUCCACCGCCUGCUAGAGGCGACCACUAUGUUAGGCCUGCUGGCGCCACCACCGGCGAUAGCUGCUAG
RNAcentral lists this ribosomal RNA (546 nucleotides) under Triticum aestivum (bread wheat). RNAcentral describes it as "partial small subunit ribosomal RNA". The record is from RNAcentral. Lineage: Eukaryota; Viridiplantae; Streptophyta; Magnoliopsida; Poales; Poaceae.